Parambassis ranga (Indian glassy fish) is the source of this 622-nucleotide long non-coding RNA. The record is from Ensembl. NCBI's taxonomy places the organism in Eukaryota, Metazoa, Chordata, Actinopteri, Ambassidae.
AUGGACGUCGCCCUGCAGUUACUGCAGGUGGUGCUGUUCGUCAUGGUGGUGUAUCUGUACCGUGCAUUUGGAGAAGGCCGCGCUCUGAAACGGACCGAUCUGCUGGCUGGCAGAGACCACGCCCCCACCGAUGACCUGGGGGAGCUGAACUACGCCUACAAUGACCAGGUUGGAGCUUACAUAGACCCCCAUCACCUGCCUUAUCACCACGAUGACCACGGCCAGGUGUAUGUGGACCAAGUGCAGAGCUACUAACCUGCUACAAACAUUAUAGGCUCAGGUUCUGGUUCUGGAAACAUGAGCCUCCAACCAGCCUGCGGUCUUAUACCCUCUGUUAUCCAACAGACACAGCUUCUCAGAAUACACACACACAUCUUAGAGCAGGCACAAGCACAAUCAUAUUUCACAGUAACAUAUCAUGGAUGAGAUCAUCGGAGUGACAUCACAUAUAUGUCCAUAGUAAGACAUCUAUAAACACACCAACACCUGUGUGGAAAACAACGAACGAUGGCAAAAACACAGCUAACACUACACAACCAAUACUAAAACAACACAACUGGGGAGAUGACGUACACAGGCAGGCUAAGUCUAUACGUGUGAAGCUUGAAAUUUGUAGGAGGAG